GGCCAACUUGUCAUCGGAUGUAACUGCAAGACGCUCCGUGGUCCUCAAAGGCCUUCCCAUCGUCUUUGGUGAUGACCCAAACAAGUUCUAUAAGACAUGUUUUGAGACAACGAAAGAUGAGGCCAUAGACAAUGUCACAGUCGGUGUAUUGACCAUCCUAAGUGAAGACGAUCCUGAGCAGCCCGUGUCCACAGCCAUCGUCCUUGAGGGAGGUAUUGUGAUGGACAAAAUUCGGGACUUGCCACAGGCAUUUUGCCUCAUAUUUGGCCUCACAUAUGCCUUGAACCUCGAUUACCCAAAAUGUGUUGGAAACACAUUCAAAUUCAUUCAAAGUGUAAUGCUUGGUUUGGGAAACAAAGCCCUCCCCCCAAAACUGUUAACAGUUAAAAACAUGUUGUUUGACGAAUGAGGAGUCAGAUGUGAGGUAGCACUCAAGAACUGCUUAUGACAGAGACAUGAGAAGAGAUGCCUUAACUAAACAGUAUUUUGAACAUUUUAAGAGCUGCCUAGAUGCAGUUUAUUUGUUGAGUUGAUUUUCAAAUCUGUUCAGUGCUUUUAUGCUGGUGGUAUAUAUAGUGCCCUCUUGUGAAUUCAGGUGUUAAAAUGUUGUGUAAAAAGAAAUAUAUGUUGGAUAAUGUGGCAUACCGUUAAUGUUCUUAUGACAGAGAAGAGGCGUUUGAUGCUUUUAUAAACAGCAUUUUGAACUGUUUAAGAGUCAAGUGAAAAUAUAAUCAUCAUUUCAUUGUUCAAUUGAUACUCAGACCUGUUGAGUGCUUUUACAAUAAUGCUUUCUUUUGAAUUCUGAUGUUAAAAUGUUGAUUAAAAAGAAAUGUGAUAUGUUGGAUGAUCUAGCCAGCAAAUACCUGUAAUCCAGCAUAAAUUGUGCGUGUUAAGAUUCACAGUAAGUCUGCAUACUGUUAAUGUUUUUAUGACAGGAAGAGAGGUUUGCUUUUAGCAUUUUGAAAUGUUCAAGAGUGACGUGAAAACAUUUUCAUUUCAUUUCAAUUUUUUUUACAAUAGUGCCUUGUGAAUUCAGGUAUUAACGUGUUAAAAGAAAUGUGAUAUGUUGGAUAUUUGGAUACUGUGACCAGCACAUAAUCCAUCAAAAAUUGUGAGCACAAAAUCUGCAUACUGUUAAUUCUGUACACGUUUUAAAUAAAUUGAAUGCAGAUGACA
Thunnus maccoyii (southern bluefin tuna) is the source of this 1176-nucleotide long non-coding RNA. RefSeq lists it as uncharacterized. The record is from RefSeq and is a predicted model, not a curated record. NCBI's taxonomy places the organism in Eukaryota, Metazoa, Chordata, Actinopteri, Scombriformes, Scombridae. The transcript is spliced from 3 exons.